This 448-nucleotide ribosomal RNA is filed under the name uncultured bacterium. RNAcentral's name for it is "SSU rRNA". It matches the Rfam family "Bacterial small subunit ribosomal RNA", at positions 26 to 518 of the family's 1533-position model. The record is from RNAcentral.
AGAACGAACGCUGGCGGCAGGCCUCAAACAUGCAAGUCUAGGGGGCGUAGCAAUACGUCACCGGCGGACGGGUGCGUAACACGUGGGAAUGUACUUACUGGUUCGGAACAACUCAGGGAAACUUGAGCUAAUACCGAAUGUGCCCGAAAGGGGAAAGAUUUAUCGCCAGUAAAUCAGCCCGCGUCCGAUUAGCUAGUUGGCGGGGUAAAGGCCCACCAAGGCGACGAUCGGUAGCUGUUCUGAGAGGAAGAUCAGCCACACUGGGACUGAGACACGGCCCCAGACUCCUACGGGAGGCAGCAGUUGGGAAUCUUGGACAAUGGGGGAAACCCUGAUCCAGCCAUGCCGCGUGAGUGAUGAAGGCCUUCGGGUUGUAAAACUCUUUCGACGGGGACGAUAAUGACGGUACCCGUAGAAGAGCUCCGGCUAACUUCGCGCCAGCAGCCGC